Molecule: long non-coding RNA, 649 nt
Organism: Pyrus x bretschneideri (Chinese white pear)
Lineage: Eukaryota; Viridiplantae; Streptophyta; Magnoliopsida; Rosales; Rosaceae
Exons: 2
Source: RefSeq, a predicted model, not a curated record
CUGAAAAAGUCGGGUCUUUCCAUUUGCUUCUGGUACGUUCUUCUUCCUCCUCUCUUCACUUUUGCUCUUCGCUUUCUAUCUGCAACCUUAAAACUCUCAAACCACAAGCCAACCAUAACCAAACCCUCCUCAACUCUUCUUUCUCCCUUCUCUCUCUUUCCUCUCACUUUUAUCUCCGUGAUACACUUAAUAGAAAGUGUCGUACGGCGGCGAUUUCGACGAUUCCGGCAACGGCCGGCCUCGACGUUGGUCUCAAACGGUUGCUCUUCACAUCAGGUAGCUUGUAGACCUAUUGCAGGUUUACGGAAGUGAAUCCAAAGGGGAAGGUGCCUGUGGACCUGCGGUGAAGUUUGAUGACAAAUGGGUGGCGGAUUCUGAUGUCAUUGUUGGUUCUAUUUUUAUUCAUCUCUCCAAUUGGUUCUUUUUUUAUUCUCACCAACUUUUUUGUCUAAUAUUAUUUGUUUCAUUUUUUUGGUGACUUUUGUAGAAGGGACCUUCGCCAAGGUGAAGUAUCUAAACAUGAAUCGCAACAGUUAGCUUUGAUUCAUGUUCUACAUUUUUUUUUGUGUCUAAUAUUAUUAAAAGAUGAUUCAACUUUUUUGCAUAAAAUUGCAUCAGUUUAUAUAAAGAUGAGAUACAGAUGAACUCA